UCUGAGCUCUGCUUCCUGGAGACUGACCCACGCAUUUGUUCGUGACACUCGUUCUAUAACCCAUCCCAUUUGCUGGCCCUAGAUGGACGGCAGGAAGUGAGGACAGAAUGCCUGGUGGGUCAGGAGGAGAGGUUAUGUGUUUUGAUGUCCACGAGGACCUCGAAAGCCCUCCCUCCCCUACAUGACAGCUCCGUGAAACGCCACAGCUCCUCUGGUCUCCUACUCUCUGUGCCUUAGAGCUGCUGGGCCAUCUUUAUUCCGACACACAGGUGAUGAUGCAGAGGCUGGUCCCUUCAUCGACUUCUCCUCUGAUGCUCGCUCACCUGUCUUAUAGGCUUACCUGUGCUGAAGACUGUGUCUCCAGACGCAUGUGGAGAAAGGGGAGUGUGACAGGAAAGAUGGCUGACAGACGACACUGGAGCGCACUCGGGGCCAGUCUCUGCAUCCCUGAGGACAACA
Peromyscus eremicus (cactus mouse) is the source of this 459-nucleotide long non-coding RNA. RefSeq lists it as uncharacterized. The transcript is spliced from 3 exons. Lineage: Eukaryota; Metazoa; Chordata; Mammalia; Rodentia; Cricetidae. The record is from RefSeq and is a predicted model, not a curated record.